This 680-nucleotide ribosomal RNA is filed under the name Vibrio cholerae. RNAcentral describes it as "partial 23S ribosomal RNA". It matches the Rfam family "Bacterial large subunit ribosomal RNA", at positions 2264 to 2925 of the family's 2925-position model. Lineage: Bacteria; Pseudomonadati; Pseudomonadota; Gammaproteobacteria; Vibrionales; Vibrionaceae. The record is from RNAcentral.
GGUAGUUUGACUGGGGCGGUCUCCUCCCAAAGAGUAACGGAGGAGCACGAAGGUGGGCUAAUCACGGUUGGACAUCGUGAGGUUAGUGCAAUGGCAUAAGCCCGCUUAACUGCGAGAAUGACGGUUCGAGCAGGUGCGAAAGCAGGUCAUAGUGAUCCGGUGGUUCUGUAUGGAAGGGCCAUCGCUCAACGGAUAAAAGGUACUCCGGGGAUAACAGGCUGAUACCGCCCAAGAGUUCAUAUCGACGGCGGUGUUUGGCACCUCGAUGUCGGCUCAUCACAUCCUGGGGCUGAAGUCGGUCCCAAGGGUAUGGCUGUUCGCCAUUUAAAGUGGUACGCGAGCUGGGUUUAGAACGUCGUGAGACAGUUCGGUCCCUAUCUGCCGUGGGCGUUGGAAGAUUGAAGGGGGCUGCUCCUAGUACGAGAGGACCGGAGUGGACGAACCUCUGGUGUUCGGGUUGUGUCGCCAGACGCAUUGCCCGGUAGCUAAGUUCGGAAUUGAUAAGCGCUGAAAGCAUCUAAGCGCGAAGCGAGCCCUGAGAUGAGUCUUCCCUGAUACUUUAAGUAUCCUAAAGGGUUGUUCGAGACUAGAACGUUGAUAGGCAGGGUGUGUAAGCGUUGUGAGGCGUUGAGCUAACCUGUACUAAUUGCCCGUGAGGCUUAACCAUACAACACCCAAGG